Molecule: ribosomal RNA, 433 nt
Filed under: uncultured bacterium
Lineage: Bacteria
Description: partial 16S ribosomal RNA
Rfam family: Bacterial small subunit ribosomal RNA
Source: RNAcentral
AACGAACGCUGGCGGCAUGCCUAACACAUGCAAGUCGAACGAAGGCUUCGGCCUUAGUGGCGCACGGGUGCGUAACGCGUGGGAAUCUGCCCUUUGGUUCGGAAUAACAGCUGGAAACGGCUGCUAAUACCGGAUGAUAACGAAAGUCCAAAGUUUUAUCGCCAGAGGGUGAGCCCGCGUUGGAUUAGGUAGUUGGUGGGGUAAAGGCCUCCCAGGCCGACGAUCCAUAGCUGGGCUGAGAGGAAGAUCAGCCACACUGGGACUGGGACACGGCCCAGACUCUUGCAGGAGGGAGCAGUGGGGGAUCCAGGAAAGCGGGCGCAAGCAUGAUGGUGCUAGGCCGGGUGAGCGAUGAAGGCUGGAGGGUUGUAAAGCUCGUUUACCCGGGAAGAUAAUGACGGUACCGGGAGAAUAAGCCCCGGCUAACUUCGUG